RNAcentral lists this ribosomal RNA (486 nucleotides) under Staphylococcus aureus. Its description in RNAcentral is "partial 23S ribosomal RNA". It matches the Rfam family "Bacterial large subunit ribosomal RNA", at positions 497 to 985 of the family's 2925-position model. The record is from RNAcentral. Lineage: Bacteria; Bacillati; Bacillota; Bacilli; Caryophanales; Staphylococcaceae.
AGUACCGUGAGGGAAAGGUGAAAAGCACCCCGGAAGGGGAGUGAAAUAGAACCUGAAACCGUGUGCUUACAAGUAGUCAGAGCCCGUUAAUGGGUGAUGGCGUGCCUUUUGUAGAAUGAACCGGCGAGUUACGAUUUGAUGCAAGGUUAAGCAGUAAAUGUGGAGCCGUAGCGAAAGCGAGUCUGAAUAGGGCGUUUAGUAUUUGGUCGUAGACCCGAAACCAGGUGAUCUACCCUUGGUCAGGUUGAAGUUCAGGUAACACUGAAUGGAGGACCGAACCGACUUACGUUGAAAAGUGAGCGGAUGAACUGAGGGUAGCGGAGAAAUUCCAAUCGAACCUGGAGAUAGCUGGUUCUCUCCGAAAUAGCUUUAGGGCUAGCCUCAAGUGAUGAUUAUUGGAGGUAGAGCACUGUUUGGACGAGGGGCCCCUCUCGGGUUACCGAAUUCAGACAAACUCCGAAUGCCAAUUAAUUUAACUUGGGAGUC